AACGAACGCUGGCGGCAUGCUUAACACAUGCAAGUCGAACGAGAAAGUCCCUUCGGGGGCGAGUACAGUGGCGCACGGGUGAGUAACACGUAGGUGACCUACCGAUUGGGCGGGGGAUAACUCGGAGAAAUCCGGGCUAAUACCGCGUAAGUAAGCUGAACUUGAAAGUAAGCUUAGAAAGGAUGCCUCUCCUUGGAAGCAUUCGCCGAUUGAUGGGCCUGCGGGGCAUUAGCUUGUUGGUGGGGUAAUGGCCUACCAAGGCAACGAUGUCUAGCGGAUCUGAGAGGAUGAUCCGCCACACUGGAACUGAGACACGGUCCAG
RNAcentral lists this ribosomal RNA (322 nucleotides) under uncultured bacterium. Its description in RNAcentral is "bacterial SSU rRNA". It matches the Rfam family "Bacterial small subunit ribosomal RNA", at positions 29 to 334 of the family's 1533-position model. The record is from RNAcentral.